RNAcentral lists this ribosomal RNA (253 nucleotides) under uncultured bacterium. RNAcentral's name for it is "partial 16S ribosomal RNA". It matches the Rfam family "Bacterial small subunit ribosomal RNA", at positions 524 to 776 of the family's 1533-position model. The record is from RNAcentral.
UACGUAGGUGGCAAGCGUUAUCCGGAUUUAUUGGGCGUAAGGGGAACGCAGGCGGUCUUUUAAGUCUGAUGUGAAAGCCUUCGGCUUAACCGGAGUAGUGCAUUGGAAACUGGGAGACUUGAGUGCAGAAGAGGAGAGUGGAACUCCAUGUGUAGCGGUGAAAUGCGUAGAUAUAUGGAAGAACACCAGUGGCGAAAGCGGCUCUCUGGUCUGUAACUGACGCUGAGGUUCGAAAGCGUGGGUAGCAAACAGG